Molecule: long non-coding RNA, 571 nt
Organism: Chelonoidis abingdonii (Abingdon island giant tortoise)
Lineage: Eukaryota; Metazoa; Chordata; Testudines; Testudinidae
Source: RefSeq, a predicted model, not a curated record
UUAAUCCUGUCCUUUUAGCAGAAAAUUUUCAAAAUUUAUUUUGUUCCUUUUUUAUCCAUAAGAUAACACCGUUUUCCAAAGGUGGAUAUCUCCUACUUGUUUAUUUAGUUAGUGUUUGCAACAAAGAGCAGAAGUCUUCCCUGCUUGCAAGAAUGGAGCAGACACACUGGGAGGAUGGAAGAGAAUGCAUGUAAUGGGAGAUGCACUUGGUUAACUGAGGCAAAAUCAUCAGCCCUAGAAAAUUAAAGCUACAACACAAUAAAAUCCCAGAUUUUUAGGUGACUGGCCACUGAGCAACAAAUGCAGAUCAUGAAGCUAUGCAUACUACAUGGCGUCAUCUCUCUCUACAGUGCCAGAUUGCUCCAUUCUUGUGAUUAAGUAGGGUAUUGGAUCCAUGUGAACUGCAGCACUCUCACAACUCCCUCCCCAGCCACUUUAGUCUGACCUACUAGCGAACUGGAGUCAUUCCCAUUCUCAUGAAUCAGCAGAACUCACUUACUCUCCACCUCCCCUGUUGGCAGCAGGCCUGCAGUAGACAGCAAGCAUCUAUCCUGAGACUAGCACAAGAGGC